This 253-nucleotide ribosomal RNA is filed under the name uncultured bacterium. RNAcentral's name for it is "partial 16S ribosomal RNA". It matches the Rfam family "Bacterial small subunit ribosomal RNA", at positions 524 to 776 of the family's 1533-position model. The record is from RNAcentral.
GCCGUAGGGCGCGAGCGUUGUCCGGAUUUAUUGGGCGUAAAGAGCUCGUAGGCGGCUUGUCGCGUCGAAUGUGAAAUCUCAGGGCUCAACUCUGACAUUGCAUUCGAUACGGGCAGGCUCGAGUUCGGUAGGGGAGACUGGAAUUCCUGGUGUAGCGGUGAAAUGCGCAGAUAUCAGGAGGAACACCGGUGGCGAAGGCGGGUCUCUGGGCCGAUACUGACGCUGAGGAGCGAAAGCGUGGGGAGCGAACAGG